Long non-coding RNA from Arabidopsis thaliana (thale cress), 524 nucleotides. RefSeq annotates it as other RNA. NCBI's taxonomy places the organism in Eukaryota, Viridiplantae, Streptophyta, Magnoliopsida, Brassicales, Brassicaceae. The transcript has a single exon. The record is from RefSeq.
AAAGUCAUGUUAAUUUGUCAAUGAAGCCAAUUAGCUCAUCAAAAGCUGGACCACGAUCAUUUUCGUUCAUAAUUUCAUUUUUCUCUCCACUAGAAUAUUCAAGAAGCAAUCUUCUUUUGGCUUCUACAAUAUUUCUUCUUUUUGAUUUCUUAUGUUGUGUAUUUUAGCUGUUUACAGCAAGGAUCUUUCGAACAAAAGCUUUAUAUGAGGAUUGGUUAUCAAUUUUAAAUAAUUAGCAAAAAGGAAGCCGUUUAUGUAAUCAGAACUAUAAAUUAUUUUAUUUAGCUUUGUCAUUUGCUACUUUUGCUAAGUAAACAGAUCAACCAACCCAUUAUAUUACGAUACUCGUAAUAAGUCACAAUAUGUCAAUUUCUUACAAUAAUUUAACUGAAUUUAUACAUAUAGGUCUAGAGUGAAAUUAGAAAAUAAUUUGCGAUCAAUACAUUACAAUAACAAAAUUUAUGUAAUGUAUUUUACUUACAUACAUAAAUCAAGGAUGGAUGCUCAUGAUUUCGUCUCUAAGA